RNAcentral lists this long non-coding RNA (412 nucleotides) under Jatropha curcas. Its description in RNAcentral is "long non-coding RNA (JCUR_LNC000245)". Lineage: Eukaryota; Viridiplantae; Streptophyta; Magnoliopsida; Malpighiales; Euphorbiaceae. The record is from RNAcentral.
GCAUUUUUAUCUUUUAUAUGUGAUGGAUCUCCUAUAAAAUGUAAUGAAAUGGUUAAUAUUAAAGUUGCAACUGCAUCUUGAAUAGGUUCACCAUGUUCAUUAAAUAAAGGUUGAUCCUGAUCAUUUACUUGAACUGCAUUUAAAAUAUCUAAUUGAUCUUUUUCAGUGAGAUGAUAAUCCCACCAUCCUUUUAAUUGUCCUGUAAAUCCCGCAACGAGGAUUUCAGCAACUGCUUUAUCAGAUAUAGGUGACUGGGUUUUAUAAGCAUUUGCAGCCAUGGUCAUUUGUUGCAAAAUACUUAAGAUUUUAUAUUCAGAUAAUCCAUCAAUAUUCCAUUCAUAUAAUGUAUUAGCAUUAUAAUGAAAUUGGGAUAUGUAUGGAGGUUUAUCAAUUAAUCCUAAGUCUGGGGCCC